RNAcentral lists this unclassified non-coding RNA (184 nucleotides) under uncultured Cyphellophora. Its description in RNAcentral is "sequence contains ITS2". Lineage: Eukaryota; Fungi; Ascomycota; Eurotiomycetes; Chaetothyriales; Herpotrichiellaceae. The record is from RNAcentral.
UCACCCCUCAAGCCCGGCUUGUUGUUGGACGUCGGCGGCGGCCUCUAGUGGCGUACCGCCCGUCUCAAAGAUAAUGACGGCGUCUGUGAGGACACCUGUACACUGAGCUUUCGGGCACGUACUAGGCUUGACACUCGCAGACCCGGUCUAUAGGGUUCGCUUCGGCGGCCCAACUUUUUACCAA